ACGGGGGGCAGGCAGAGGGACGGAGGGACGUCCCAGAGCCGCCCCCCGCCCCCGCCGCCUCUUCCUUUGUCUGGUGCCGCGCACUCGGCAGCCGACCGUUGGUGGGCGCACGGGGCGGUGGUUGAGGCUCACGCUGGCGCAGCCGUUGGGCCUCGCGCCCCCCGUGAGGGGAGCGGGCGCCAGGUUUCUUUGUUGGCCCAGAGGCCGGAAGUGCAGAGACGCCAUUGAAGUUCCUCUUCCCGCCGAAAAGCCACGUGGCUGGGGGAAAAACAUUCUUAUGUUGUGAUGACAGAAGAAGAUGGGGCUAAAUUCAACACGUGUAUUUUUGGAGUAGUUGUGACUAGAAUUUCAGAUUUUUACUUAGCUGAAGGGUGGAUGUGUCUGAGCUUCCAGAAUUAAUGCUCUUUGCAAGCAGUAGUAUUUCUGGUUGUCAAACAGAGCAGGCAAAUUCUACUUUUAGGCUAGGUCUUAAUUUCACUUCAGACAUAAAUGAGCUUUUCUAAUUAAGUUGAAACCUACAGCCUAGACGUUCUGCAGUCUCUCUCUGCUCUUUACAAAGAGCACAGAGAACCUGGGAUGUAGCUUAAUGUGCUUGAAAUUAGCCUUGACUCUUGCAGCUCUGUCUCAAACACUGUUCGCAGUGUUUCCCAUUUAGCAAUGUAGACCUGCCUGUCCAUGUGGCAAACACAUCUUUCUGAUUGUCUGGUGCCCAAACAGACUGGAACGCAUGGACCACAAAACAAAACUUACGGAGGAACAGGAAAUUGCUUAACAAAAACUACCAGCAUAACAAGCAAGUGCGCAGGCACAUUGGUCAGGUUAACUUACGUUCACCUACCCUUAUGGGGGUGCACAACCACUGAGGACCCCUGAUGAAGGGCAGUACCAUGUGUGGACAGGAGGAAGAUGGUUGUACAGCACAUGCUAACCAUGUGAUAGCAGAGGUUUCCCCGCCUGGUAAGAGCGGUCUUGACCAAUCGUAAAUACACAUGGUUACUGUGUGUGGUGUCUGGUCUAGCAAGAUUAUGCAUGGUGAUGAACUGGCUAUGUGCCAUUACCCUGGAAACCAGAUGGGAAAAACCACAAGGGAACACUAUGAGACAGUACUUUUGCAAGACAUUAGGGACCCUCCCCACCAAACCACUGAAGACAGCAGACCAAUGGGAUGCUACUGGAUCCAUGGUGGUGACCGUCUCUUGCAAUCUACAAAAUUGCAUCUAUCAUAUGACACUGAAAACUGGAUCGUAUAAAUGAAAGUUCCAGAGACUUGAAAGUAUUGGCACUCUACCUGACCUUUCUAUAAAUGAACGUAGUUCCUGCUUCGAAGAAUUAGUGCAAUUUUAAAGGAACAUCUUUGGAAAACUCCAGGCUAUGUAUCUUACUACCUUCCCUGCUUUGCUGCUGGAGUAGAAAACAUAUAGAAAAACAAACCCAAGGCCAAGCUGCCGACAGACAACUUCAGCAUCUGCAUCAUCCCACUGAUCAUCACAGAUAGUGCCCCACUGGCCCGCAUGGUAGACUUCUACUCUUCCUUCGUAAGCGUUGUUUCCACCAACCAGCCGGAUCGGAGUAAAGACAGAAGCUGUGAUCAAACACAGAUUAUAGGAACAGGGAAGAGCUACAUGUGACAGCAGCAGCCAUUUUUUGAGGACACGUUCCAUCCUGCCAGAUGUCUUUUUCACAUGACAAUAUAGUUGCUUCAUCACCACGACAACGCACUUUGCUCCAGUAAACAGGAAUAAGGCCCAGUCCAGAAAAUGGAGCUGAAUUUGCAUUUUUAAAGCUUCCUGGAGAAUUCCCAAUGGCAACAGUGGAAGAAUUUAUUCAUGUACACAGAGUAAAAGAUGAUACCAGAGAUAACUUUCUCACAUCAGCAAGUCGUUUCCCAACAAUUAAAAAUGAAAUAAAUGUGAAAUCCUUUGCCUGUCUGAUGGAAGCCUCAUGAAAGAAGUCUGAGAAGCAUGGAGAUCUCGCUGUGGACACGUACUGUUAAACAAAGAAAACAGACUUCACCCUGCUGCCCACUUGCCCAGAGAACCCCAGGUGACUUAUGGUCCUCCUUGAGGUGGAAAAACAUACUACUGGUAUCAGUUGGUAAGGAAGGGACAAAGACUGGAAGGGACAGAGCCUUAUUUCCGUGUGCCUCUGUGACAAGAC
Cygnus atratus (black swan) is the source of this 2157-nucleotide long non-coding RNA. RefSeq lists it as uncharacterized. The record is from RefSeq and is a predicted model, not a curated record. Lineage: Eukaryota; Metazoa; Chordata; Aves; Anseriformes; Anatidae. The transcript has 7 exons.